GUGAUGUUAAAGCACUCUGUUUUGGGGUUUAAUACCCCCAGCACAAUUUGCACAGUGUGAACAAAUCUAAUAAGAUGUAGAACACCAGAGACCAAAAGUGGAACGCCGGGACAGAACCCUGAAUUUAGUACUAUCCUGCACAAAGUGGGACAGUAGGGGGAAAUUGGAAAAUAGUUUGAUAGGCUGAGAAAUCUGAUGAGCUCAAUGAAG
Molecule: non-coding RNA, 210 nt
Organism: Pelobates cultripes (western spadefoot toad)
Lineage: Eukaryota; Metazoa; Chordata; Amphibia; Anura; Pelobatidae
Source: the annotation of a GenBank genome assembly